GGUGGCUCAGUGGUAGAGCGCUUGCCUUACAUGCCUGAGGUCCUGGGUUCAAUUCCUCAGCACCA
Molecule: transfer RNA, 65 nt
Filed under: Dipodomys ordii (Ord's kangaroo rat)
Lineage: Eukaryota; Metazoa; Chordata; Mammalia; Rodentia; Heteromyidae
Rfam family: tRNA
About the family: Transfer RNA (tRNA) molecules are approximately 80 nucleotides in length. Their secondary structure includes four short double-helical elements and three loops (D, anti-codon, and T loops). Further hydrogen bonds mediate the characteristic L-shaped molecular structure. tRNAs have two regions of fundamental functional importance: the anti-codon, which is responsible for specific mRNA codon recognition, and the 3' end, to which the tRNAs corresponding amino acid is attached (by aminoacyl-tRNA synthetases). tRNAs cope with the degeneracy of the genetic code in two manners: having more than one tRNA (with a specific anti-codon) for a particular amino acid; and 'wobble' base-pairing, i.e. permitting non-standard base-pairing at the 3rd anti-codon position.
Source: Rfam by way of RNAcentral